UCCCCUCAAACCAUAAGUCCAUUCUCAACUUCCAUCUCCCUCUGAACUCACACCCUAGAGACCGCCGCCAUAAAAAUCCCCACCGUAUCUGCCGACGGCAGACCUCCCCAAUCACUUCUAAAUCUUUCCCACGCAACCCCCAGUCCCUCCUAUAUCCUAUCCCCGCAUCUAUUUCCAAAAAUUUACAACGGACUUCCUCCAAUUUAAAAUAUAGGAAUUUCAAAAACCCUAAGUUAUUCUUCUUUUCUGAUUUUGCGCAAGUUCCAACUCGUUUUGACCUAAAGCUUAGUUAGUCUAUUGCUUUUAACGAGUGAAAUCGAUUUGCAUUAGUAUUAGUUCAUUCCAAGUUCAUUGGAUUUUGACUGACUCACCAAAUUCCGGUCAAACUUUGACUGCUUUCAUCGUUCGUCGAGUCGUCUCAAUUUGUUAAUUCAUUCUGGCAAGAAUUGGUACCUUUCCCCUCUUUUCUGUAUUGACUUUUUUUUCUUAUAUUAUUUUUUUGAUUUUUUAUAUUAUUAUUACUUUUAUGUUUAGGUUUAUGUUUGUUUUGUUAUUUAAUCCUAUUCUUUUGGUUGGUUGAAUUAAUUUUUGUUUGUUUAGAGUCGUUGUUUUUAAUUGGUUAAUAGCAGAAGUUAGGGUUAAUAGUAAAAAUCAUUUAAUUCUGGAUUGUUUUCUUUUUCUUCUUUUGUUAAUCACUGAAUUAGAUUUUGUUUGAUCAUUUUGGCUAGCUUCUGGAUAAACUGUGUGGUUAUCUCUUACCCGGUUAAAGAGGCAUGUUCAUUUGGGUUAGGUCUGUGGUCAAUUUGACCUAGGUGUGAUUCAUUCUGAAUGUAAAUAUAGUGGUGUCAAGGGGUUUUUUUGGUAAUUGAGGGAUGGGGGAAUAUUUUCUGUUAUAGGAAGCUUCUAGAGGAUAAGGUUAGGCUAGUUUGUUAAGGGAUAAGGGAGGGUUUAGAUAUUUUGAAAGGGUUAAGGGGUAAAAUCACUAAGGGGGAAUUAACAAUGCACACUAGGGUUGCCUUAAAAGUGCCUAUAUAAGGCCCAUUUUCCUUCAUUUUUUGGCAGACGUUGAGAACCGUAGAGAAUACACCCAAAUUUCAGCAUUGUUUGAAGGUGUUGAAUGGUUUUCGCUUCUCAUUUCUUUCCUGGAAAAAAAACAAACAAGUCUGAAGAUCUUUCUCUGGAUCUCUAUUUUUAAUAUGGAUUGAGUGGAAGCUACUUGUUGGCUGAUCAUUGAUGUUUCUUCACUUGUAUGCUUAUCUGAGCUUCCUUAAUUUCUUAUCAUUUUUACUCUCUAUAUUAAGGUAUUUCUUGGGCUACGAGGACUGCGAAAGUGCAAAGUUCUUUGAUGUAUUUGUAAUAUGAAUUUCAAUGGAUGAAUUUUGGAUUUUCAUUUCUUCCUAUAUGUGUUCUUCUUAAGUUACUAUGUGUAUUUUUAGUUUGUUCUCUUUCAGUUAUUAUGGUUACUGUGGAAUCUUCUGAAUGGACAAUGAUUUUGGAAGAAUUUUAUAUAUUAGUAUCUUGAUGUUAAUGUCCAUACUUUCAAAUUAGUAAAUGUGUUUUGUGAUUUCUUUUUCAUUUAAGAUUGUUAAUUUGAAGAUCACGUUACGGUUAAAUAUUUGAACUACAUAGUUUAGUCAUUUAAUUUUAGUAAUGUUAGCUGGCUAUUGAAACUACAUAGUUUACUGAUUUAUAAUAGCAAUGUUAGAGUACUUUGUUGAUGCGAGAUUAUUAUGAAUUAGAUUUGUAGUUUUAGAUUCAUGCUCAUCUUACUAUUGUCUGUAAGGAGGUGUUUAAAUUAGAUUCAUAAUUUUGUGUUCGUAUCUAGCUUCUUAUAUAAUAUUUUCUCUAAAUUCUUAAGGGGUUUAGGCCAGGCAAGGACCUGUAAGGAAGCAGCCUGCUGGAAAAUGGGCUCUUCAUGAUUGUUUUGCUCUUAUUGUUCAUUGGGCCCAAUCUUGAGCCCUAUUGUACCCAUCAAGUUUUAUUUCCUUAAUUUUUGUAUUGGUAUGGUGAAAAGGUGUCUUUCUAGUACUAUAGGGCCACUCUUGGCCCAACGAUAGGUUUGGCAUUAGCCUAGCCUUUCCUGUUAUUCUUUUCUAAAUUCUUUUAAACACUCAGGCCCCUUUCAAGUAAUCAAAUGCCUGGUGCUAUCCAGUGUGGGUUUAUUAACUAGUAGGUUUAGAUUGAACCUUAACUUAGAAUAAAUCUGAACACCUUUAGACCCUUUUAGUUAGGUAUUCUCGUUUACCAAUAGAUUGAGGUGUGCCAUUUAACUAAAUUACCCAUGGCCCUCACAGAUAUUAUAUUAUUUGUUAAGAAUUAAAAAUCGUAGAAAAUGCCUUUAGACGCGAUUAAAAUACAAUUGUGACUGUGUAUACGUUCGCGUGACAUGGUUACAAUUCUAAAAAAUAAUUUGGAGUACGUGUUCGCAUAACUUCGACCAAACCUUCUUAAUAAUGAAGUUGUUAUUAAUGGACCACUAAUUAAUUUUUUCGCAUAUUGUCCAAGAAAAACAAUUUAAUCAUACAUGGACCUCAUAUUAAUUUCAUUACCUAGAUAUUAAAUGACAAAAGCUCGGUGUUGCUUUAGGCCUGUUUAAUAUACCAUCAUGGUUGCGUACACGUUCGUGUGACAUGAUUAUGAUUUUUAAAAUAAAACCGGAGUAUGCGUUCAUGAAACUUUGGACAAACUUUUCUUAAUAAUAAUAAAGCGUCAUUAAUUGUGGACACGGACGUGUGACAUUUUUCAAGAUAAUUUCUUAAUUAAAAGAGGUGAAUGCACAUAGGUCCUAAAAUGAGUAAUUAGACAAUUUGAUUAAGCCAAGUAUGAUCAAAGCGACUGUGCUAGAACCACGGAACUCGAGAAUGCCUUGUAUCUUCUCCCGAGUUAACAGAAUUUCUUACCCAAAUUUUCGUGUUUUGCAGACUUUAUAUAGUAUCAAACUUCCUCGAUUCGAGAUUUUAAACCGGUGACUUGGGACACUUCCCAGGGGCAAAUCUGAUUUUUAAAUAAAUAAUCUCAUUUCGAUUGACACUUAAAUUGAAAAAAACUCCCUUAUACUCUCCCCUUCCGGGGGUAGGAAAAACGAGGUGUGACAGCGUGUAUAUAAUGUUGUAACUUUUUCCCAUAUCCCAUAUAUAUAUAAUAUAAUUUUAUAUACGUAUCUAACGCCAUCUUGUCAUGGGUCAAUGAAUAUGCAUAAAUUAAUGCAAUGCAUGAGAAGUACGUCGAUAAAAUCUCUCGGGAUAUCAUAAGACCAUUAUUCCUUUGAGUAGUAUCAUGAAGUAAACUGUAUGCGGCGAAGUUAGAAGGUCUAAUUUCUUGCUAUUAGUUCAUUCUAGAAGAAUAUCUCGAGGCCUCGAAGAUGCGAAGCUGUGAUCAAUUUUCCUCCCUCCAAGCUCGUCGAGGCUCGGCCUAAAGGUAAUAUCAAUCAAGGCUAGCGUCAAAACGGGGAGUUUCUAGGGCACAUCAUUAAGCCUGACAAAGCUGGCCCACCCAGAGCCUGUAUCAAGGUGUCGCAUC
This 3519-nucleotide long non-coding RNA is filed under the name Nicotiana benthamiana. RNAcentral's name for it is "long non-coding RNA (NBEN_LNC040439)". The record is from RNAcentral. Lineage: Eukaryota; Viridiplantae; Streptophyta; Magnoliopsida; Solanales; Solanaceae.